Molecule: ribosomal RNA, 497 nt
Filed under: uncultured bacterium
Lineage: Bacteria
Description: partial 16S ribosomal RNA
Rfam family: Bacterial small subunit ribosomal RNA
Source: RNAcentral
GAUGAACGCUGGCGGCGGGCCGAAGACAGGCAAGGCGAGCGAACAGACGAGGAGCGGGCGCCGCGGACGGGAGCGGCGGACGGGAGAGGAACACGGGGAGAACCGACCGAGAAGACGGGGAUAACGGCGGGAAACCGGAGCUAAUACCGGAUAACAUGUUGAACCGCAUGGUUCAACAGUGAAAGACGGUCUUGCUGUCACUUAUAGAUGGAUCCGCGCCGCAUUAGCUAGUUGGUGAGGUAACGGCUUACCAAGGCAACGAUGCGUAGCCGACCUGAGAGGGUGAUCGGCCACACUGGAACUGAGACACGGUUCAGACUCCUACGGGAGGCAGCAGUGGGGAAUCUUCCGCAAUGGGCGAAAGCCUGACGGAGCAACGCCGCGUGAGUGAAGAAGGUCUUCGGCUCGUAAAACUCUGUUAUUCGGGACGAACAAAUGUGUAAGUAACUAUGCACGUCUUGACGGUACCUAAUCAGAAAGCCACGGCUAACUACGUG